GGAGUCCUGAUUGUACUACCGAUCCAACUCUCAACCCAAGGUUGAUUUAAGUCUCAACCCACGCGCUGGUCCCUUCCUCCCCCACACAACCCCCUUUUAGCCCCUUCCGCCUCUCACGUCCUCUGUUAUCAUCUUUUCCACGAUAAUUCUAUCCAACCCUUCUGCAAGCGCCGGCCAUUGUGUUUGAAGUAUCUAUCUUUCGGAUAAUGGCACCGGAGCACGAGCAUGUCUCGGUUGCCGUCAUGGCGGACGACGCUGCCGAUAGGGCGAAGAGGCUUAUCCUCGCUCUCCAUCAUUACGAAGAUGUGCUCGGUGCUGAGGUUGUAGCGAAUGCUAUGGCUGAUGGCACAAGGCUUGGCGUUAACAGGGCAGUAAGCGGUCAGCUUACCACCAUGACACGUAGUGAGGCUGAUAUGUACGCUUCUGCUGCCGCCUCAGGUGGCGUGGCGGCUGGACUUCAAGCCAUGGCUAAUGGCUUUUCAAGGAUUAGGAUCGAAAGCAACGGACGUACACAAAUUUCAAUUGAUUUUUUGCUGAGUUGUGAUUAUUAAUUCAGAUUUUAUGAAUUUCUAAAAGACUACUUCAAAUCAUUUAGCAUUAUAAUUAUUGUGGAUUUUGUUUAUAGCAAGGAUCACUGAGUGCACACCGGGCCAAGCAUGAUGAAAUCAAUAUCGUUGCUGCCACCGAUACACGGGUAAGCGGUAAUACAACCAUUUUUUUGAUUAUUUUUACCCCCUCAGUCCAACAAAGGAUGUCUCAACUUUGACUAAAUUUGAAUGCAUCUAUACACAAAGUCAUGUCUAGAUACAUCCAAAUAUUGAUAAACUUGAAACAUCUUUUGUUGGACGGAGGGAGUAAUAGAUUUAAAUGUUAUCUUCUAAACUUUUUUUCAUAAAAAUUCAUAAUCUGUUUUUUGGAUUUAACAUCUUACUGAAUCCAAUCUGUAAAAUAACUUCUUAUACUUCAAGCACGACGACGUAUUAGAUGAAAACCUCUAUUUAGUGCAAACUUGAAAACUUCCCGUCGCAGCCAUUAGAUCUCAAAUAUACGGUUUAGAUGAAAAGGGGAACCUAUAACCACUUAGACAUUUUAUGAAAAACCCACGAGUUAGGAUUCUCUAAGGGAUUUUCAUAAAAUGCAUUUAAGUGAAAGUUUUACCUCAUCCGUUUAUUUAUGGUCUAAUGGAUAUGAUUGGAAGUUUUCAUGUUUGCACCGAAUAGAGAUUUUCACUUAAUACGUCGCCUUCAAUGACAAUUAUGUUGGUAAAAUAAUUAUGAUUAUCAUGUUGAGAAAGUUUACAAGAAAUACAUAAAUUAAUUGUGAGACAUGAAUCUUACAUGUUUGUUCAUCAUAACCUCUAAAUUAAAGUAAACACCAUACAUGUAAAAUCUUUACUUUAAAUAAUUAUAAAUUAUUUCUUCAUGUACAUUUACUUCAUUUUGUUUCUUUAGUAAGGAAUUUAGUGCUACAUUUUGGUACAGGUAAUGGUUGAACCUAGUUUUUAUGAAAUAUAAAUACUCCCUCCACGUCCCAUAUUAAGUGCCUAAGUAUUACAUGUAUUUAAUUAGACGUAUUUUAGUAUAUAGAUUCAUCCAUAUUUAGACAAAUUUGAAUCACUUAAUAUGGGACGGAGGGAUUGGUGUUUCAAAAUGUAUUCAUGUUUUCUGAUUGUAUAUAUACACUCAUGUGCUAAUAAUCUAAUAUAAUAUAUACAUAUAUACAAAUACACAUACCAAUUUUAAUUACUCACAUUGAAUAUAAUUUAUCUUAGUAUGUAAAAAGCUAAUCGGAAUUGUAUUGUAUCUUAUUGUUAUUUCAAUUUGGGAGAGAAACAACUCGUUGUUUAGCCGUUUCAUUCUGGCAUUUUUUGUGGUGAUGGCUACAAUUUUAGUAUCUGUCGUUGUCUUUAGAGGUGUUAAGUAAUAUGGUGUUUAAUAUCAGUUUGUUGACUAUUGUUAAUCUAUUAUUUUUGUAAUUUUUUUGUGUCUAUAUUAUGUUCGCAAUUAUAUUUUCA
This is a long non-coding RNA of Brachypodium distachyon (stiff brome), 2014 nucleotides long. RefSeq lists it as uncharacterized. The record is from RefSeq and is a predicted model, not a curated record. The transcript has 2 exons. Lineage: Eukaryota; Viridiplantae; Streptophyta; Magnoliopsida; Poales; Poaceae.